ACCAAACCAAAUCGACUCCACAUAUUUCCCCCCGUCACACAGUUAUAAAAGGAAGCCGAGAGACAGAGAGAUUCAGACCACAACCUGAGAAAACAGUGAGAGAGUGAUGAGUUCUGUUCGCUACAAAUCAUCAGAUCCAUCGCAAUGCACACCUGUCAUUGCUUCCGAACGCAUCGAGAGUAGGAAGAAGCUGGAGAAGAAGAAGAGCCACGUGUUGCUAGAAGGCUACGUGGAGAGUCUCGCCACGCUGGAUAAUAAUAACCAAGACGAUCUGUCGAGAUCCAAGAGCUUGACCGACGACGAUCUCGAAGAUCUCAAAGGUUGUCUAGAUCUAGGCUUUGGUUUCAGCUACGACGAGAUCCCUGAGCUCUGCAGCACUCUACCUGCUCUAGAGCUUUGCUACUCCAUGAGCCAGAGAUUCUCUGACGACAACAACAAGUCAUCGCCGGAAAAUUCGUCGGUUGACGAUUCUCCGGCGCCUCCGAUUGCCAACUGGAAAAUAUCUAGCCCCGGUGAUAAUCCGGAUGAUGUGAAAGCUAGGCUCAAGUACUGGGCACAAGCCGUUGCCUGUACUGUCCAGUUGUGCAGCUGAAUGGUUCAUUGGAACACUAGUGAAGAUGUGAUAUUUACAUGAACAUUUAUCUCAGGCAGUGUUUAGCUGAGGUGGAGAUCUCAGAAAGGCAUUAGAAGGUAUCAAUGAAUAAAAAGCAUCAUAUUCUUUCUCAUUUUCAUUGCUAGUCUCAAGCUCUCUGGAGCUUUUAACUCCCCCGACUGGUUAUGGACCCUCUGAAAGUGGUGGGAGACGUGUUUAUUGAAGCUAUCACUAACUGGUUAGUGACCUCUAACUGCUGAGGUAACUAAUUCUAACUUCAUAACUUGAUCAAUAUGUUUCGUGGGAGACUUGUGUGCCUAUUUACGUGAUGCUACUUGGAUCUUUCUGAAGAAUGAGUGGGAGGAAAAGAAAGAAAAAUGGAUUCCAGAUGUUAUGUGUUAUCUUCAAGGUUAUCUUCUUCCUUAAAAGCAAACUGUUUGAAAAUCUACAUUGGUUAAGUAUAUAACUAAAUAGUGCCUUAUAACAUCCAAAGACACUCUCAUGUUAGAGCAAGAUAUGUAAGGCCUAACUAAUAUCUGUGUCAAUCUUGCUCCUAUAUUGGCUGAAGCUUCUUGGAAGUUGUAACCUUGUAAGAGGCACUCGCAUCUAAAUUUGUCAAUGUCGUUGUAAGCUU
Molecule: RNA transcript, 1226 nt
Organism: Brassica oleracea var. oleracea
Lineage: Eukaryota; Viridiplantae; Streptophyta; Magnoliopsida; Brassicales; Brassicaceae
Exons: 4
Source: RefSeq, a predicted model, not a curated record